This 437-nucleotide ribosomal RNA is filed under the name Tuxedo cruralis. RNAcentral's name for it is "partial 16S ribosomal RNA". The stretch from base 116 to 437 matches the Rfam family "Bacterial large subunit ribosomal RNA", at positions 2077 to 2609 of the family's 2925-position model. Lineage: Eukaryota; Metazoa; Arthropoda; Insecta; Hemiptera; Miridae. The record is from RNAcentral.
CAUAAUCAUUUGUCUCUUAAUUAGAGUCUGGAAUGAAUGGUUGGAUGAAAAAUUACCUUUCUUUAUUUUAAAUAAAAAAAUUAAUUUUUAAAUUAAAAAGUUUAAAUGAUUGUAUAGGACGAGAAGACCCUAUAGAACUUUAUCCCCCUUAGUUAAUUAUUUACUUGUAAAUAAUUUUUAUUUAUUUUAAGGGGGAUUUUGUUGGGGUGACAAAAAAAAUUUUAUAACUUUUUUUACUUAAUUCAUUAAUUUAUGUAUUUUUGAUCCUUUAUUAUGGAUAAAAGAUUAAGUUACCUUAGGGAUAACAGCGUUAUUGUUUUAGAGAGUUCAUAUCGAUAAAAUAGUUUGCGACCUCGAUGUUGGAUUAAAAUAAGUUUCAGGGGCAGAAAAUUGAUUAACUGGGUCUGUUCGACCUUUAAAUUUUUACAUGAUCUGAG